RNAcentral lists this ribosomal RNA (725 nucleotides) under Pseudomonas sp. Y4_284_3. Its description in RNAcentral is "bacterial SSU rRNA". It matches the Rfam family "Bacterial small subunit ribosomal RNA", at positions 61 to 781 of the family's 1533-position model. The record is from RNAcentral. Lineage: Bacteria; Pseudomonadati; Pseudomonadota; Gammaproteobacteria; Pseudomonadales; Pseudomonadaceae.
GUCGAGCGGUAGAGAGAAGCUUGCUUCUCUUGAGAGCGGCGGACGGGUGAGUAAUGCCUAGGAAUCUGCCUGGUAGUGGGGGAUAACGUUCGGAAACGGACGCUAAUACCGCAUACGUCCUACGGGAGAAAGCAGGGGACCUUCGGGCCUUGCGCUAUCAGAUGAGCCUAGGUCGGAUUAGCUAGUUGGUGGGGUAAUGGCUCACCAAGGCGACGAUCCGUAACUGGUCUGAGAGGAUGAUCAGUCACACUGGAACUGAGACACGGUCCAGACUCCUACGGGAGGCAGCAGUGGGGAAUAUUGGACAAUGGGCGAAAGCCUGAUCCAGCCAUGCCGCGUGUGUGAAGAAGGUCUUCGGAUUGUAAAGCACUUUAAGUUGGGAGGAAGGGUUGUAGAUUAAUACUCUGCAAUUUUGACGUUACCGACAGAAUAAGCACCGGCUAACUCUGUGCCAGCAGCCGCGGUAAUACAGAGGGUGCAAGCGUUAAUCGGAAUUACUGGGCGUAAAGCGCGCGUAGGUGGUUUGUUAAGUUGGAUGUGAAAUCCCCGGGCUCAACCUGGGAACUGCAUUCAAAACUGACUGACUAGAGUAUGGUAGAGGGUGGUGGAAUUUCCUGUGUAGCGGUGAAAUGCGUAGAUAUAGGAAGGAACACCAGUGGCGAAGGCGACCACCUGGACUAAUACUGACACUGAGGUGCGAAAGCGUGGGGAGCAAACAGGAUUAG